This 392-nucleotide ribosomal RNA is filed under the name uncultured bacterium. RNAcentral's name for it is "partial 16S ribosomal RNA". It matches the Rfam family "Bacterial small subunit ribosomal RNA", at positions 523 to 918 of the family's 1533-position model. The record is from RNAcentral.
AUACGGAGGAUCCGAGCGUUAUCCGGAUUUAUUGGGUUUAAAGGGUGCGCAGGCGGCCAUUUAAGUCAGCGGUUAAAUCGUGGGGCUCAACCCCAUUCUGCCGUUGAUACUGGGUGGCUUGAUUGCGGUCGAGGUUGGCGGAAUUCGUUGUGUAGCGGUGAAAUGCAUAGAUAUGACGAAGAACACCGAUUGCGUAGGCAGCUGACCAGACCGCAAAUGACGCUCAUGCACGAAAGUGCGGGGAUCGGACAGGAUUAGAUACCCUGGUAGUCCGCACAGUAAACGAUGAAUACUUGUUUUCGGCGAUAUAUUGUCGGAGGCAAAGCGAAAGCGAUAAGUAUUCCACCUGGGGAGUACGCCGGCAACGGUGAAACUCAAAGGAAUUGACGGGG